RNAcentral lists this ribosomal RNA (5575 nucleotides) under Triticum aestivum (bread wheat). RNAcentral describes it as "partial small subunit ribosomal RNA". The record is from RNAcentral. Lineage: Eukaryota; Viridiplantae; Streptophyta; Magnoliopsida; Poales; Poaceae.
CAAAAUCCCCGUUUCGCCCCGCCCCGCCCCGGCAGACCUACCCCGGUUUCUCCUCUUCCAUUGACUCCUUUCCGAACCCUAAUACAUCCACUCUCGGACGGCCGCCGCCAGCCCGCCGCCGUCGUCGCCGACGCCUCCGCUCCAGCGUGUCCUCCUCCAACGCCGAGAGCAGAUCCAGGCAGCGUCCCCUUCCCCAUCGGCGACACCUGGAGUCGCAGGCAGGAGAGGAGGAGACGCUGAAGCGGAGCGCAAGUAGUCUCUGGGUGAAGGCAGGAACCGGCCGCCGCCAACGCCAUCCCGAGUGAGGUUGGUCUCUAGAAAGGUUCUAAAUCUUUUCAAGAAGCCCGAGCAGCGAGAUUCACGAAGCUAGGGGGGGGGGGGGACUGAAUCAAGAAGUGAGAGAAUUGCAAUUAAGUGAAGGCAGGAGCCGGCCGCCGACAACGCCAUCCAGAGUGAGGUUCGCCCGGUGAUGGCGAUAAGUCAGCCCUGGCCGGUGGAGGAUGUUCGUGAGACGUUUUUCUCCUAUUUCGUGGAAAAUCAGCAUGUGCAGUUGUCAUCAACCCCGGUUAUCCCCGUAGUUGAUACCAAGGUGCCUCUUAUUCAUACAUGUUUGAACCGGUUCAAGGGGACCCUUAAUGGCAGAGGGAGUCAUCGCACCUGCUUUUCGCUGAGAUGCAUUACUGUGGGUGGUGAUGACGAUGAAGUGAUUGAUCACUUCAAAAACGACACUACUUACCAUAGAUUCACAGAAGUCCUUGGAAGUUGGUCUUUUGGGGACUACUUUAAGGAGGAAGCCAUCAGGUUAUUAUUCAGUCUUCUCAACAAGAAAUACAAGUUACCUCAGUCCAGAAUAUAUGCUUCAUACUUUAGUGGUGAUACGUCCCUUGGUUUGAGUUCAGACAAUGAGUCAAAAAAUACAUUGCAGAAAUACCUAGCGGAAGAAAGAAUCAUGCCUGCCAUGUCUAAGGCUGAUUUUUGGAUGACUGGUGAAACUGGUCCCUGUGGGCCAUGCAUUGGAUUUUUCUUCGAUUGUUCGGAUAGCAAAGAUGGUGUUGGUUCCGUAAUCAACAUAAAGGAUGGCAAAUUUAUUGAGAUAAGCCGUCUUGUUUUUGUUGAGUUCAAUAUGCAAGCAGGUGGCGUCUUGAAGCCUUUGCAAGCUAAGCAUGUCUUGAAGCCUUUGCAAGCUAAGCAUGUCUUAACAGGGAUUAAUCUUGAAAGUUUAGCUGCCAUUCUUCAAAAUAAAGAAAGCCACUAUGAAUUAGAUGUCUACGAUGACAUAUUUUUCAGCAUGAGCUGUUGUACUGGUCGAGGAAUCCGGGACUACUCUGGUGAAGUUGGUGCUGCUGACACAGAUGGAGUUGAUACGGCAUACCGCCUCCUUGCAGAUCACAUAAGAAUGAUUGCUGUUACUAAUGCUCCUGGUUCUCAGCUUGGGUUUGGAAAUGAAGGUCGCGAGUAUUUCCUAUAUCGUGCCGAUAAACAGGCUGUGCAAUAUGGCCACGAAGUACUUAAGACAAAUCAAGAGAAAUACGAUGUUAUUAUUCAUGGCAUUCUUAUAUCUGAAGCUGAUUUAUGUCCUGAGCUUGAAGGGUACAGAAAAGUGGAUGAAAUAAUCGAAGAUGAAUUGAUGAUCUAUAAAAAAACCAUGGCGGAGUUACGAGAACAGCAAGUGCCAUUUGAUAUGGGAGGGAAGAAGAAAAAGAAGAAAGGUGUCACUUCUGUUGUGUGGUAUGCGACAAGGCUUAUUGAAUUUUUUGGCCGGCGCACACGCAUUAUUCUCAAGAAUAAGAAUACACGCUGCUCCUUAGUAGCACUAUGCAACGCUCUCCUGCUUGGAGAGAAGAUAACUCUCAAUAUAGAUAUCGAGAAGGUGUCAGAGGGCCAUCUCAUCUAUCUUGUACAAAGUUAUCUUUUGUAUGGCAAUACACAAAUGCAGUUGGAACAGAACUUGGAACUAUCAGAGUUCAAUAAACAAGUUCUUGGUGUAUUGCCGAAGCUUCCGGGCAGUUUAUACUUUGAUGUGACAUUUGCCAGCUCUUGUGGCUUUGAGCAGACCUCAGAAACCGCAAUAUUUGGUUUUCUUGGUGUCCCUCUACACCAUGGCUGGUUGGUAGAUCCCCAGGAUGCUGAAUUGGGCUCCUCAAUACGUAAAAGUUCCUACUACCAACUUUCGUAUAUUCUUGCUGUGUACGAAUCGAUUCGAUCCAGCACAAAUUCAGGGCCUCAAAAGCAUGGUGGAUGUAAAGAUGAUGACAAGUUUGAUUCGACACUUGUGUUCUCUUUAACCAGAUCAGAAGAACUUGGUUCUAUUUCUUGUGCAAUGAUCUCAACUUUUUUGCAUGGCCCUCAGCUAACCUCGUAUGGAUUUUCUUCCUUACAUGAUGACUUAAAAGCGAGACAGCCCACUGUCCUGAUUUGGAAUGAAACAUUAAUUACAAUAUCUAAGGUAGGAGACCAAAUAUAUGUGUUGCUGAACGAUUUGUCCUUGUUAAGUACUGAAACCGGUGCGGUAUGGGAAAGGUUAACAGAGGAUAGUGAUGGAUUGUUUGUUGAUUGUAACUUCGUGCCAACAGAUUCAGAGAUUCAAUCUAUACUGCCACUAACGAGAAUGGAAAGAAGGAAGAGGAAUAGAGAAGAGAAGAGGCCUCUGAAGGAUCUCUUAGUACCUGAGGAGAAAGAGGUGGAUAAGAGGGAAGACGGAGAGGGGGAUACGAACGAGGACGAGAAAGAUUAUGAGAAGACAGAGACCGGGGAGAAAUAUGAUGGGAAUAUCGUGGAGAAACCAGAUAUAUCUGGCAUUCGUGGCAACUUGAAUAUAAGGCCUAUUGUUUUUUUGGGACGGCCAACCCAUGUUAUCCAUCAGAUAAAUGAUGGCCCGUGUGCCCUUAUUGCAGUCUGCAAGUGAAAUUGGCUUUACUUUCAAUUUUUGUAUUUCAUUUCCUCAUGUUUUGUAUUUAUUCUUUUUUUUGCACAGGUAAUCUUCUACUGCUCCAGGGGAGCAUCUUUUUUGAACCACAUGAAACUGUGGUGUCAAUGGAAUAUCUACUUAACUUUGUCUUUUCUUUACUUGAAGAUAGUGAGAAAAUGAAGGCCCAUUGUUCUGCAAUACAACGAAACAUAUGGGAUGCGGCGCUGACACUGGCCACAGGGUUUGAUGUGGACGUUGUCUUUACCAGAACGGAUGGAUUUACGGAGACACGAGAGUGGUUCCUUCUCAAUUGCUUAAAUCUAAAUCUUCGACAUGGUUGGAUUGCUGCUGGGGAUUUGUUGCGCGGACCAGAAACAUCAUUUGAAAGUCUUACGCUGGCGGCUAAUGAACCUGGUUUUCCAAAUGCGGAGGCGAUCAAGAAGUUUCUAACGGGACCUCAACUUACUCCCAUUGGCUUGCUUUCCUUACAAGAAGAGCUUACUGAAAAUGUUCCAUGCAUUCUGUACUGGAACAAACAUUACAAUACUACAGUUAAGGUCAAUGGAAAAUUAUGUUCUUUAGUCACUGAUUCAAAUUAUUUAAGAACAAGUGCAGUUUGGCAGACGCUUGAGGUCCGCGGUAACGGAUCAUAUUUGGACAGCAACUUCACACCAAUUUAUGCGCAGCUUGAUGCAGCUCCUUCGUUUCUUCCUGAAACAAGUACCUCCCAAGCAUCUACCUCAUUCAUGAAGCAAGAUUUGGAAGGGAUUACAUCACGUGGUGACGGAUUAUAUUUGGAUCGUAGCUUUACACAUUCGGGACCCAAUGCAGCUCUUUCGGGAGAUGAUCUUCAUGGCUCUCAUUUUGUUCAGAAAAUACGGACUCGAAGAUCUCUGCCCAGUCCUCGAAUUGUUCCUGAAUCAUCGGAAGUACCACUUAGUGAUUUUGUUCGGAUACCUGGUAAUGAGUUCUCUGAAUUAAGAACUCUAUUUGCUGAUGGUACUUCAUUGGAUGUUGCUGAUACGAGAAAGAUUGGAAGAGUUCUCGGACUUGAUUUACUUGAAGAUAUUGUUUUUAAUCAUAAUGCGGGGUUCAGUUGGGAUGGGAAGUUUGACCCGACGACUAUAAUGGUCAUUGAUGGAGUCCGUGCGGAAAUUCGCGCACCGUAUUGUGACAAGUUCUGUGAAGAGGCGAAAUUAAAUGACUUCUUCAGUUACAUUACUGGGGUUAUUGAGCUAUUUAGAAUAGAAGGGAUUGGUCUGCCAGCCUUUUUUGCCAAGUUGACCCAGACGCUGUCAAACCCUCCUCGCAGACCUCAAGUGUGUACCCAACGUCAACUGGAGGGCUUCAAACGUCGACUUCAUGGCUAUUGGGAUAUUGUAUUGACUACCCUGGCGCUGAGGUCCUCAUUGGCUAGAGCAGGAUUAUAUUCUGGAAUUCAUAGAAUACACCGCUUCGCGCCAGAGGCAGUUAAUCAUGCGCUGAGAGCUGUAUUGCGAAGUCGUUUUUUACCAAAAGAUUGGAGACAACCAAUUGUUGCAGAAACAGGUCAUCCAGUCCUCAAAAAGGUUUUACGGUAUAUCCCUGAUACGUUAGAUGGAAGCAAUGAGAAUGCCAGGGCGAAUGAAGGUUGGCGUAGGAAGUUUGGGUGGUAUAAACCCAGGUUGCUUGAUAGCUUGUGUAUUUUUCCAAGACAAGUAAACGAACAUGCAAAGUCUAAGGAGGAGCUAGAACUGGAAAAGCAACAAGGAGUGGAGAAUGAACCUAUGAACAGUCUUUCCGAAUUGGAUCUUCUGACGUCUCAUUAUCUCCAAGACGAUCUUCCAAUUAUAUUGGAAGUAUUGCUACGCUCUGAUCAUCUUAUGACAGAUGAAUUGUGGAAAUGGUUGGAAGAGGUCCUGGAGGUUUACUCCCGACCAGAAGUCCUUGGUCGUGGAACCUGGGGCCUCCGCCGCUGUGUUUUUGGUGGAGGCUGGAACCUGGGCCGCCGUGCCUAUUGCCGCCGUGGUCGUGCCCGUGGUUUCGGACACCGUGGUCACGGUCGUGCCCGUGGUUUCGGACACCGGUGACUAUCAGAGCGAAGGCGCCGUCCGCGGAGAUGAGGGGAUCUGCGGCGAUGGUGCCCAGAUCCACGGCAGCGGCGUCAACUGUGAUGAGAAGCGCAUCUGCGGCGAUGGCGACCAUGGCAAGGGCACCAGUUCCUCGAUUCUCAGCAGUUACCUUCCUCUCCUAAUCCCCGUCUUCAGGAAACAGGAGCCAAUCAAUUUUGUUGCAUUGUAGACCAAUACUGUUGUUUGUAAAUAAUUUGAACUUGCUAAUAUUGUGAACACUGCAGUUAAGUUCCUUGGGCCGCUAGAUUACUUAUUUGUCACUGCAAGUAGAAAGUUGAAGUGCUAAAGCUGAUGAUGGGUUUCGGCUGAGUAAGUAGUAUACUCUGAUUUAGUUGCGAUAGGCUUUGUUCUUGCCAUCAUUUGAUAUGGAAUAGUUGUGUUAUGACCAGAGAUUGCAUCUGUUACCCUCUUCUUUGGACGUCUUUCCAAGCCAAUAAAAAACUGGUGCAUAGGCAGACGACCUACAUGGUUGGUUUGCCAGCCCAUUGCGUUUUCAUUGUUGCCCUGGUGUCAAAUGGUCCACCAAUACUCCAUUCUAAUGAAUAAGCUGUCCUCG